RNAcentral lists this ribosomal RNA (467 nucleotides) under uncultured bacterium. RNAcentral's name for it is "partial 16S ribosomal RNA". It matches the Rfam family "Bacterial small subunit ribosomal RNA", at positions 28 to 506 of the family's 1533-position model. The record is from RNAcentral.
GACGAACGCUGGCGGCGUGCUUAACACAUGCAAGUCGAACGGAAAGGCCCUGCUUUUGUGGGGUGCUCGAGUGGCGAACGGGUGAGUAACACGUGAGUAACCUGCCCUUGACUUUGGGAUAACUUCAGGAAACUGGGGCUAAUACCGGAUAGGAGCUCCUGCUGCAUGGUGGGGGUUGGAAAGUUUCGGCGGUUGGGGAUGGACUCGCGGCUUAUCAGCUUGUUGGUGGGGUAGUGGCUUACCAAGGCUUUGACGGGUAGCCGGCCUGAGAGGGUGACCGGCCACUUUGGGCCUGAGAUCCGGCCCAGCCCCCUCCGGGGGGGAGCAGGGGGGAAUUUUGCACAAUGGGGGGAAGCCUGAUGCAGCAACGCCGCGUGCGGGAUGGCGGCCUUCGGGUUGUAACCCGCUUUCGCCUGGGACGAAGCGUGGGUGACGGUAAUGGGAAAAGAAGCCCCGGCUAACUCCGU